GAUAGCGCGGAGCACGCAGGAGCGAGCGGAGCGUGGGCGGCGGCGUCGGACCUCGGGCUGCGGGAGCGCGGGCGCCCUGGGGUCCUCGGAAUCACAAUGAGGACCUAGGGCAUCUGCCUGCUGACGCCCCCUGGCCUGCAGUGACCAUGGCCCCCCGCAAGAGGAGCCGCCAUGGCCUGGGCUUCCUGUGCUGCUUCGGGGGCAGUGACAUCCCCGAAAUCAACCUCCGGGACAACCACCCUCUGCAGUUCAUGGAGUUCUCCAGCCCCAUCCCGAACGCAGAGGAGCUCAACAUCCGCUUUGCAGAGCUGGUGGAUGAAUUGGAUCUCACUGACAAAAACCGAGAGGCUAUGUUUGCACUGCCCCCUGAGAAGAAAUGGCAGAUCUACUGCAGCAAGAAGAAGGAGCAGGAGGACCCCAACAAGCUGGCGACCAGCUGGCCUGACUAUUACAUCGACCGCAUCAACUCCAUGGCUGCGAUGCAGAGUCUGUACGCGUUUGAUGAGGAGGAGACGGAGAUGAGGAACCAAGUCGUGGAAGACCUGAAGACAGCCCUCCGGACACAGCCUAUGAGGUUUGUGACUCGCUUCAUUGAGCUGGAGGGCUUGACCUGUCUGCUAAAUUUCCUCCGGAGCAUGGACCACGCCACCUGUGAGAGCCGCAUCCACACCUCACUCAUCGGCUGCAUCAAAGCAUUGAUGAACAACUCCCAGGGGCGGGCACAUGUGCUGGCACAGCCUGAGGCCAUUAGUACCAUAGCCCAGAGCCUACGCACAGAGAACAGCAAGACCAAGGUGGCUGUGCUGGAGAUCCUGGGUGCUGUGUGCCUCGUGCCUGGCGGCCACAAGAAGGUGCUGCAAGCCAUGCUGCACUACCAGGUGUAUGCAGCAGAGCGAACCCGCUUCCAGACCCUGCUGAAUGAGCUAGACCGAAGUCUGGGCCGGUACCGGGAUGAAGUGAAUCUGAAAACAGCCAUCAUGUCCUUCAUCAAUGCUGUCCUCAAUGCUGGAGCUGGAGAGGAUAAUCUGGAGUUCCGCCUACAUCUACGGUAUGAAUUCCUGAUGCUGGGGAUACAGCCUGUGAUUGACAAGCUCCGGCAACAUGAAAAUGCCAUCCUGGACAAACAUUUAGACUUCUUCGAGAUGGUGCGGAAUGAGGAUGACUUGGAGCUAGCCAGGAGGUUUGACAUGGUCCACAUCGACACCAAGAGUGCUUCCCAGAUGUUCGAGCUGAUCCACAAGAAGCUGAAGUACACGGAGGCCUACCCCUGCCUGCUCUCUGUGCUGCACCACUGCCUGCAGAUGCCCUACAAACGGAACGGUGGCUACUUCCAGCAGUGGCAGCUCCUGGACCGCAUCCUCCAGCAGAUUGUCCUCCAGGAUGAGCGGGGUGUGGACCCUGACCUGGCUCCCUUGGAGAACUUCAAUGUCAAGAACAUCGUCAACAUGCUCAUCAACGAGAAUGAAGUGAAACAGUGGCGAGACCAGGCAGAGAAGUUCCGGAAAGAACAUAUGGAGCUUGUGAGCCGUCUGGAGAGGAAGGAGCGGGAAUGCGAGACAAAGACGUUGGAGAAGGAAGAGAUGAUGCGAACGCUGAACAAAAUGAAGGACAAGCUGGCCCGGGAGUCUCAGGAGCUGCGCCAGGCUCGGGGACAAGUGGCAGAGCUGGUAGCCCAGCUCAGUGAACUCUCAACAGGCCCUGUAUCUUCCCCACCACCCCCUGGGGGCCCACUCACCUUGUCUUCCUCAAUGACAACCAAUGACCUGCCUCCACCCCCUCCUCCUCUGCCCUUCGCCUGUUGUCCCCCUCCCCCACCACCACCCCUUCCUCCUGGGGGACCCCCGACUCCCCCAGGUGCCCCACCUUGCCUCGGCAUGGGCCUGCCCCUCCCUCAGGACCCCUACCCCAGCAGUGACGUCCCACUCAGGAAAAAGCGUGUCCCACAGCCUUCUCACCCACUGAAGUCCUUCAACUGGGUGAAGCUGAAUGAGGUGAGCAUCUGGGAAGGGGCUGGUGGGCCCAUUCUUCUACAGCAGGGCAGUCAGCCUCAGGGACCGCCCGCCCCUUGUUUGUAGAUCUCCACUCCGGGUCCUUUCUUUGGUGGGGGGUAAGGGCAGUCAUGUGGAUGUACAAAGUGGAUUUGCUGUGCCAGGCAGCUCACAGUCAGAACACCUACCCUGGGAGAGACGCUUGACAUGGGGCAAUGCUCACGUUGACAAAGUCAUCUACAAAUGGAAUUUGUGUUUGCCCAGGGUUAAUGGAGUCACAGGCAAGACAAACACUGAGUAGAAUUCAAGGACAGGGUCCAUUUGAAGGAAAGGAUGGAAAAAUAAGCAAAGAGCUUGGGCCAGCAUCUAGGUUUUGGUAAAGAUCAGGGCAAUGUAUACAAAGGACUAAAGAGUUUGAUGGCAAGACAUAGCUAUUUUGGCAUCUUCCUGGGGCAAGUUGCACACACUGGCCUCAUGUCUGGACCAGCAGUGAGAGAUCCUCAUGAGUAUUAUCCACUAAUAAUCACCAAUCCCAGAACCACA
RNAcentral lists this small RNA (2531 nucleotides) under Pongo abelii (Sumatran orangutan). RNAcentral's name for it is "retained intron". Lineage: Eukaryota; Metazoa; Chordata; Mammalia; Primates; Hominidae. The record is from RNAcentral.